This 301-nucleotide ribosomal RNA is filed under the name uncultured bacterium. RNAcentral's name for it is "partial 16S ribosomal RNA". It matches the Rfam family "Bacterial small subunit ribosomal RNA", at positions 509 to 809 of the family's 1533-position model. The record is from RNAcentral.
CAGCAGCCGCGGUAAUACAGAGGGUGCAAGCGUUAAUCGGAAUUACUGGGCGUAAAGCGCGCGUAGGUGGUUCGCCAAGUUGGAUGUGAAAUCCCCGGGCUCAACCUGGGAACUGCAUCCAAAACUGGCGAGCUAGAGUAUGGUAGAGGGUGGUGGAAUUUCCUGUGUAGCGGUGAAAUGCGUAGAUAUAGGAAGGAACAUCAGUGGCGAAGGCGACCACCUGGACUGAUACUGACACUGAGGUGCGAAAGCGUGGGGAGCAAACAGGAUUAGAUACCCGCGUAGUCCCUGUCUCUUAUAA